Molecule: long non-coding RNA, 2509 nt
Organism: Rhineura floridana
Lineage: Eukaryota; Metazoa; Chordata; Lepidosauria; Squamata; Rhineuridae
Exons: 4
Source: RefSeq, a predicted model, not a curated record
GGAGGCUGGCUAAGUGUUGGCUGAGUAGGAAAGCCAGCAAAGUCCUCCUCGUCAGAAGAAACAGCGGGGGAACGAAAUAUAUCAGUUAGCUGUUCCUGGGCUGCUGAGGUGGUGUUUGGAACAGAAGCAUAGCAUGGAUGCUUGGGAGCAACUGGCUGGGCGACGCCACGAGUUGUGCAGGGCAAAAAGCAGCGGAGGUACAAUCAGUAGCUGCAGAGAGCAAUGUUGCAAUAGGCAGCAGUACAAGUCGGUGAGAGAGGAGCUCUUGUAGAGCUAACUAGUCCUAUUUGAAAACUCACAUACAAGAAAGCCUGGUCAAGUGAAUGUUUUCGAUUGUGCACCUUCCUCAAUUUGGAUAUAUUCACAAAUGAGACCGGACUGUUGAAUUGUUUUCAUCCAUGAAGUGCUACUUGAGAGAUUGAGGAUGUUAAGAAGAUAGUUGGCAGAUCUGCUGUUUUUUCUAAAAUUAAUGUAUAACAUUAAAAUGUUUGUGGGUUGAUACUGUUUCUAGAGCAAGAUACUUAUUCAAGACAAUGAAAACCCUUCAAUUUUUCCAAGAGGUUCUUUUUCUGUAUAGCACUUUUUUCUCAAAAGGCUUUAUAGUACGAGUGAGUAGCUUUGCAUACAUUUUUUAGACAUUUAUAGUAAAGGUUCCUCUUGUUCUUUCAUAAAAAUUAGGAGGCCAUAACACUAACUAUGGUCAUCUCUUCACAAAAUGGAAAGUGUUCCUUUUUUCUACCUCCAGCAUUCUUUGUUACAAUCAGGGUAGCAACAAUUGUAUGCCUGAUUUUUUUUGCAGUAACUAGUCUGUUAAUUUCCCUUUCCUUAGUUAGAAUCUUGUGUGUUUUUAUAAUGUAAACGGUAGAUUAUGAGAGAAGUAGAAGUGCAUUUUCAAGUAAAGUUUCUUAAUUUUUCAUGUUUUCAUAUCCUGUAUUUGGGUAUAUUGCUAAGGUAAAAGGUGACAGUGGGAAAAUCAGUUUUACUGACCAUUAAAAUGUAUGUAUGACAAACAUUAAGAAAUGUAUGAACUGAUCUUACAACUAUUUAUACAUUGAAGUAUAUCUUUAAAAAUACUUGAGAAUAGACUUGAUUUUUCAAAGAGAUACUAAACUUCAUUACUAAGAACAUGUGUAGCAGGUCCAUAUGUAGCAAUGAACUGUUUCAGCUGUUUGUGGCACUGCAGUAGGUAAAUAUCCCUUUGAUCCAGAGAGUUCUCACUAUUGAGUUCAAAUGGAAACACAGCAUUUGGGGCCACACAAAACACAGAAGCACCUAUGAUAAUGAAAGCAGAAGAGUAAACUUGUAUAAUUUCCUCAAACUGCUACAAUGCUCAAGUAUCCGUGAAAGUUUGAUUGAUAUCAAUGGACAUUUCAAAUAGAAACCCCAAUCUAGUUAUAGCCAUCCCUGUCAGAUUUCUGAACACAAGAAGGAUGGGUAGAAAAUUUCUCAAUAUUCUAGAACUACUUUCAAAUGUUAAGAUUUUUAGUAUGCACAAUAAUAACUGGUUUUAAUUAGCCUCACUCAUACUGUGUCCAUACCUGCACUAUAAUAAAUAUUCCCAUUUUAAGAUGUUUCUUUUAAGGGCAGAAGACUGAACAUUUUAGCGGAAUCUAGCACAGUAAGAUUUACACAAUCUCAUAAAAUGAAAUCUUGGAUCCUGUCAAAGCCAAUGCAUUAAAAGCAGGUGUGGGGAACCCUUAACCCUCAAGUCCCAACCCAGCUGGAGUUGCUGAAAGGUCCUAGGGAGCUAAUAGAGGAGCAUGCACCCCAUCCAAAUCCCAGUUUAGAUCAAUCACUGCGACGAAAGCAGUCUAAAAUCCCACUGAACAUCCAAUUGAAAUGGGUCCACUUAAUCAGUACCCUUCCAGGUGUGUCUGGAAUUGUGAGGUCGUCCCAUCCUUGAGUUGCAAUAAUUGAAACUAAUCCCAGAAAACCAGACUAAGUGAUACACUGGAUGCAUUCUUUAUAGGAACCAAAAAGAACAGGAACUUCAAGUGUCUUUUUUCUGCCAAUGCCCCCACUGUAGCCUCCAGCAGAUGGUUAUGUCAGCACACAAGGCAGCAAAGAAAUAUAUAUAAAUGAGACCUGGGGUGCCGCAAACAGAACCUUACCUACUGUUUGGUAUCUGAUGGGCUCUGCUUUUCAGCCAACCAUAAAACAGCACGUUUAAGGAUUUUACGUGAACUUUUAGAGAGAUCUAAUUAAGAAAAGUUCAGUUUAAAAAGUCUUUACCAUGUUUUAAAGUGAGAGAUGAUUCAAAUAAUAAUACAGCAAUCAAAACAUCUUCUUCAACUACUUUUGUCCUUAAACUCAGCUUAGCAUGUGCUUUAGACAGUGAAAUCCUAAAAUACAAAGAUAAGUUUAAUGGUUAAUUUUAAAUCAGCUGUACAACAUUAAUAACUGUAUGUUUUUUGCAGCCUUUACACAUCAUAGAGAUAUGUAGCUGCUACAGUGACCUGUCUGGAGGGAAGUGAAGCAUGUGUAUUUUUGAAUAAAAAAUUCUAACCAA